GAACCGUACGAACGUUAUUCGGAAUCACUGGGCUUAAAGGGUGCGUAGGCGGCGCUGAAAGUUGGGUGUGAAAUCCCUCGGCUCAACCGAGGAACUGCAUUCAAAACUACUGGUCUUGAAUGUUGUUGAGGUGGGCGGAACGGGUCAUGUAGCGGUGAAAUGCAUAGAUAUGACCCGGAACACCGAUUGCGAAGGCAGCCCACUAAGCAAUGAUUGACGCUGAGGCACGAAAGCGUGGGGAUCAAACAGGAUUAGAUACCCUGGUAGUCCACGCCCUAAACGAUGAUUACUCGACGUUGGCGAUACACUGAUCAGCGUCCAAGCGAAAGCAUCAAGUAAUCCACCUGGGAAGUACGUUCGCAAGAAUG
This 368-nucleotide ribosomal RNA is filed under the name uncultured bacterium. RNAcentral's name for it is "bacterial SSU rRNA". It matches the Rfam family "Bacterial small subunit ribosomal RNA", at positions 527 to 896 of the family's 1533-position model. The record is from RNAcentral.